RNAcentral lists this ribosomal RNA (258 nucleotides) under uncultured bacterium. RNAcentral describes it as "partial 16S ribosomal RNA". It matches the Rfam family "Bacterial small subunit ribosomal RNA", at positions 524 to 777 of the family's 1533-position model. The record is from RNAcentral.
UACGGAGGGGGCUAGCGUUGUUCGGAAUUACUGGGCGUAAAGCGCACGUAGGCGGCUUUGUAAGUUAGAGGUGAAAGCCCGGGGCUCAACUCCGGAAUUGCCUUUAAGACUGCAUCGCUAGAAUUGUGGAGAGGUGAGUGGAAUUCCGAGUGUAGAGGUGAAAAUUCGUAGAUAUUCGGAAGAAACACCAGUGGCGAAGGCGACUCACUGGACACAUAUUGACGCUGAGGUGCGAAAAGCGUGGGGGAGCAAACAGGG